Molecule: long non-coding RNA, 268 nt
Filed under: Salvia miltiorrhiza (redroot sage)
Lineage: Eukaryota; Viridiplantae; Streptophyta; Magnoliopsida; Lamiales; Lamiaceae
Description: long non-coding RNA (SMIL_LNC001765)
Source: RNAcentral
UCGGAUUUGUUUCUUUUAAGUAUAUAGUUGUUUAAUUGGUUCUGAGUAGUCUGACGUGAAUGAUCUAAAGUUUGUAAGAUUUAAGCUAUUUGGAUUUGAUUUAGUUAAGUAUUAGUAUAAAUUUUGAAUGUGUAUCAUCUUGAAUAUGGAAGAAUAAUAUAAAUGAAGAGAUAAACAAAUUAAACAGUUCGUUGGAAUUUGUUGCUUGAUUUAAAGUAGGUACGAGAUAAGAAUGUAAGAUAUUAGUGGGUCAAUCUAAUUGUUUCAC